UUCUGGUUGAUCCUGCCGGACCUGACUGCUAUCGGAUUGAUACUAAGCCAUGCGAGUCAUUGUAGCAAUACAAGGCAGACGGCUCAGUAACGCGUAGUCAACCUAACCUAUGGACGGGAAUAACCUCGGGAAACUGAGAAUAAUGCCCGAUAGAACACUAUACCUGGAAUGGUUUGUGUUCCAAAUGAUUUAUCGCCGUAGGAUGGGACUGCGGCCUAUCAGUUUGUUGGUGAGGUAAUGGCCCACCAAGACUAUUACAGGUACGGGCUCUGAGAGGAGUAGCCCGGAGAUGGGUACUGAGACACGGACCCAGGCCCUAUGGGGCGCAGCAGGCGAGAAAACUUUGCAAUGUGCGAAAGCACGACAAGGUUAAUCCGAGUGGUUUCUGCUAAAGGAACCUUUUGUUAGUCCUAGAAACACUAACGAAUAAGGGGUGGGCAAGUUCUGGUGUCAGCCGCCGCGGUAAAACCAGCACCUCAAGUGGUCAGGAUGAUUAUUGGGCCUAAAGCAUCCGUAGCCGGCUCUGUAAGUUUUCGGUUAAAUCUGUACGCUCAACGUACAGGCUGCCGGGAAUACUGCAGAGCUAGGGAGUGGGAGAGGUAGACGGUACUCGGUAGGAAGGGGUAAAAUCCUUUGAUCUAUUGAUGACCACCCGUGGCGAAGGCGGUCUACCAGAACACGUCCGACGGUGAGGGAUGAAAGCUGGGGGAGCAAACCGGAUUAGAUACCCGGGUAGUCCCAGCUGUAAACUAUGCAAACUCAGUGAUGCAUUGGCUUGUGGCCAAUACAGUGCUGCAGGGAAGCCGUUAAGUUUGCCGCCUGGGAAGUACGUACGCAAGUAUGAAACUUAAAGGAAUUGGCGGGGGAGCACCACAAGGGGUGAAGCCUGCGGUUCAAUUGGACUCAACGCCGGAA
This 915-nucleotide ribosomal RNA is filed under the name uncultured marine group I thaumarchaeote. RNAcentral's name for it is "bacterial SSU rRNA". It matches the Rfam family "Archaeal small subunit ribosomal RNA", at positions 1 to 923 of the family's 1478-position model. Lineage: Archaea; Thermoproteati; Nitrososphaerota. The record is from RNAcentral.